AGAGUUUGAUCAUGGCUCAGAUUGAACGCUGGCGGCAGGCCUAACACAUGCAAGUCGAGCGGUAGCACAGAGAGCUUGCUCUCGGGUGACGAGCGGCGGACGGGUGAGUAAUGUCUGGGAAACUGCCUGAUGGAGGGGGAUAACUACUGGAAACGGUAGCUAAUACCGCAUAAUGUCGCAAGACCAAAGUGGGGGACCUUCGGGCCUCAUGCCAUCAGAUGUGCCCAGAUGGGAUUAGCUAGUAGGUGGGGUAACGGCUCACCUAGGCGACGAUCCCUAGCUGGUCUGAGAGGAUGACCAGCCACACUGGAACUGAGACACGGUCCAGACUCCUACGGGAGGCAGCAGUGGGGAAUAUUGCACAAUGGGCGCAAGCCUGAUGCAGCCAUGCCGCGUGUGUGAAGAAGGCCUUCGGGUUGUAAAGCACUUUCAGCGGGGAGGAAGGCGAUAAGGUUAAUAACCUUGUCGAUUGACGUUACCCGCAGAAGAAGCACCGGCUAACUCCGUGCCAGCAGCCGCGGUAAUACGGAGGGUGCAAGCGUUAAUCGGAAUUACUGGGCGUAAAGCGCACGCAGGCGGUCUGUCAAGUCGGAUGUGAAAUCCCCGGGCUUAACCUGGGAACUGCAUUCGAAACUGGCAGGCUAGAGUCUUGUAGAGGGGGGUAGAAUUCCAGGUGUAGCGGUGAAAUGCGUAGAGAUCUGGAGGAAUACCGGUGGCGAAGGCGGCCCCCUGGACAAAGACUGACGCUCAGGUGCGAAAGCGUGGGGAGCAAACAGGAUUAGAUACCCUGGUAGUCCACGCCGUAAACGAUGUCGAUUUGGAGGUUGUGCCCUUGAGGCGUGGCUUCCGGAGCUAACGCGUUAAAUCGACCGCCUGGGGAGUACGGCCGCAAGGUUAAAACUCAAAUGAAUUGACGGGGGCCCGCACAAGCGGUGGAGCAUGUGGUUUAAUUCGAUGCAACGCGAAGAACCUUACCUGGUCUUGACAUCCACAGAACUUUCCAGAGAUGGAUUGGUGCCUUCGGGAACUGUGAGACAGGUGCUGCAUGGCUGUCGUCAGCUCGUGUUGUGAAAUGUUGGGUUAAGUCCCGCAACGAGCGCAACCCUUAUCCUUUGUUGCCAGCGGUCAGGCCGGGAACUCAAAGGAGACUGCCAGUGAUAAACUGGAGGAAGGUGGGGAUGACGUCAAGUCAUCAUGGCCCUUACGACCAGGGCUACACACGUGCUACAAUGGCAUAUACAAAGAGAAGCGACCUCGCGAGAGCAAGCGGACCUCAUAAAGUAUGUCGUAGUCCGGAUUGGAGUCUGCAACUCGACUCCAUGAAGUCGGAAUCGCUAGUAAUCGUAGAUCAGAAUGCUACGGUGAAUACGUUCCCGGGCCUUGUACACACCGCCCGUCACACCAUGGGAGUGGGUUGCAAAAGAAGUAGGUAGCUUAACCUUCGGGAGGGCGCUUACCACUUUGUGAUUCAUGACUGGGGUGAAGUCGUAACAAGGUAACCGUAGGGGAACCUGCGGUUGGAUCACCU
This 1528-nucleotide ribosomal RNA is filed under the name Klebsiella pneumoniae. RNAcentral's name for it is "bacterial SSU rRNA". It matches the Rfam family "Bacterial small subunit ribosomal RNA". The record is from RNAcentral. Lineage: Bacteria; Pseudomonadati; Pseudomonadota; Gammaproteobacteria; Enterobacterales; Enterobacteriaceae.